Molecule: transfer RNA, 71 nt
Filed under: Stegodyphus mimosarum
Lineage: Eukaryota; Metazoa; Arthropoda; Arachnida; Araneae; Eresidae
Rfam family: tRNA
About the family: Transfer RNA (tRNA) molecules are approximately 80 nucleotides in length.
Source: Rfam by way of RNAcentral
GCAUUCGUGGUGUAACGGUAGCACACUCGGUGCCUUGUCGAGAGGUCCGGGUUCGAAUCCCGGUGAAGGCA